CCCUUUUGCCAAACCUUCACUAAGCAUAUACAUAUAUGUGUGUGUGUGUGUGUGUGUGUGUAGGCAGUCAUGUCUGCUGCUGGGAUUUCCUCCCAAACAAUACCUGUUGUGCUGGCCACAGCGGUUCUCUUGGUUCCCAUGCUCAGAGCAGUUUGAGUUUCCUGCUGGCUCAGCAGCAAGACUUUCAGAGCUUUUUAUACUUAUUCUUCUCUAGGAGCCAAGCGGAGGAGCGCAGUUUGCCUGUGAAUAGCGAGCUGGCUGGGCAGGCAGCAGGAAGCUUGCAUACUAAACCGUGUGAACUUUGAGGAGGGGAGGAAGGAGGCUGGGGGCUGCUGGCUGGGCUUCACGAGGCGUUUGCUGCAGCUCUCUGCCUUAUAAACUCAUCAUCUCAGCACAGGGAUGCCUUUCGCCAAAGGAACAAUAAUAUCUGUAAAAUGGGAGUGGAAAGAAGCGAGAGAGAGGAAAAUGGAAUUAUAUAGAAAACAGGAGGAGGGAUUGGAAAGUGGAGAAGAGUGAGGAGGCUUGGGUUUUAAUUAUUCACAUGAAAACUUGUGCACGGGUUCCUUGCACGUAGAGAUGCCACUGUACUGCUGGGCUCAUGGGCCCUCUUGUUCACCACCCCCUUAUUACCCCGACAGUGGUCACACCAACUUCUUUGGGUAGGGGCAGCUUUUCUGUAUUUCUCAGACAAAGUCAAAAGCACAGGAAUUAAAGCAUACUUCUCUCUUCCCCCCUGCAUACCCCUUCUACUCCUUUCCGUUGCUGUCAGCAAAAAUUAAUAAAUAAGCAGGUUCCCAUUCACAAGGACCAGGAAUCAUGGUGCGUCUAUGAAAGAGUGGUUUGAAGAGCAGCGCUGUGAAACACCAGUGCCUGCUUGUCAGUCACAGGCAAAACCAUCCCUGGAACAGGGAGAGAGGUGUUUUGUCAGCUGCUGUGGCUCUGCUGCAGAUGCAAGCAUGCUGAGGGCAUUCUCGGGAAAGAGUGGGAGGUCUGUCUACUCCCAGCUUGUGAGGCUCUGGGAGGACAUGCUGCUGAUGGGUCCUGAUGUGGCACAGACUAAACAUUCACAUGUCAUAUCCUGUUCAAGGAGUUGUUUCAAUGGAUGCGCUGCCAGCAAAGACACUUGGGUUUCGAUGGCUGAUCCUUUGCAAUUGUAACGGCAUUUAAUGAAAGGUCUUGUCGUUGGAAGGACAAAAUAUCCUUUAUCCAGCUUCAACUUCUGAAAGAAACACCACAAAUAUUUUUGGAUUGGAUGUGAAAUGUUGUGUAAAUUCUGUAAUACCAAGGGGGAAUAUCAGUCCUUUCCUUAUUAACAAACUAUAUAUCAAAACAAGAGUGCUUAAAGCCUAAAUGAUUUUAUACACAAUGAAUUCAUCAGAGUUUUACAUCCCCAGUAAGGGGAGUACUUAAAUAUAGAAGAAACAUGCAAAAAUAAUUUAGAUAUGAAACUAAAGAAAUAUUUGUGUAUUUGGUUGGUUUCUUUUUAAAAUUAGAUUUAGCUUUUCUUUUCAAUUCCUCCUCUCUGAAGUUGCUUGCACUUUGAGGCUGUGCAUCCUGAGCCCCGGAGGGCUCUGGCAGGAACAAGCAGGGACACAGGAGCCCUGAAUGACUUAUCAUAAAGGCAGAGAUUCAGAGCUGUCCUUCAAAAUUA
Molecule: long non-coding RNA, 1651 nt
Organism: Myiozetetes cayanensis
Lineage: Eukaryota; Metazoa; Chordata; Aves; Passeriformes; Tyrannidae
Exons: 3
Source: RefSeq, a predicted model, not a curated record